This 187-nucleotide ribosomal RNA is filed under the name uncultured bacterium. Its description in RNAcentral is "partial 16S ribosomal RNA". It matches the Rfam family "Bacterial small subunit ribosomal RNA", at positions 1313 to 1500 of the family's 1533-position model. The record is from RNAcentral.
CGCCUUCAUGAAGCCGGAAUUGCUAGUAAUGGCAGGUCAGCAUACUGCCGUGAAUACGUUCCCGGGCCUUGUACACACCGCCCGUCACACCAUGAGAGUUGGGAAUACCCGAAGCCUGUGAGCUAACUUUUAGAGGCAGCAGUCGAAGGUAGAGCCAAUGAUUGGGGUGAAGUCGUAACAAGGUAGC